Molecule: long non-coding RNA, 101 nt
Organism: Lemur catta (Ring-tailed lemur)
Lineage: Eukaryota; Metazoa; Chordata; Mammalia; Primates; Lemuridae
Exons: 3
Source: RefSeq, a predicted model, not a curated record
GCUGGAGGUUGAUGCAACAGCAACAGGCCAAACACCAAGAACAAGACACAGAAGCACACACUGCAACUGGGAUGCAGGGUGUCACUCUUCACCCUGGGCUA